CCUGCCCCUAGAGGCAUUGCAGGCAUGGCUGCUGUUUCGCUUGUGCAUCAGUAGGUGGCAGAGAGGAGAGAGGAUAUGACUACAUCCAGUGUUCUGACCCGUGAAUAUCUGAACGAUUGAUUAGUAGCCUAACAUU
This is a small nucleolar RNA of Rattus norvegicus (Norway rat), 136 nucleotides long. Ensembl annotates it as small nucleolar RNA SNORA17. NCBI's taxonomy places the organism in Eukaryota, Metazoa, Chordata, Mammalia, Rodentia, Muridae. The record is from Ensembl.